Molecule: non-coding RNA, 991 nt
Organism: Misgurnus anguillicaudatus (oriental weatherfish)
Lineage: Eukaryota; Metazoa; Chordata; Actinopteri; Cypriniformes; Cobitidae
Source: RefSeq, a predicted model, not a curated record
AAAAAGAAAAAGACAGGCUAUAUUUAAAAAAAAAUACCCUAAUAGAAAACUGUCAAAUGUAUGAAAUAUUUAAUAAAUUGUAUUAUAAAAUACAUGAUAUUAUGCCUUUUUAGUAUAACCAAUUCAAAUCUUUAAUCUUUCUAAAUGUAACGUGAUGAAAACGCUAUAAAAGCACUACACUAAAGGGAAACAUAGGGGGAACGGAGUUCGACACAACACCGGUAACUUUAAACCACGCCGGGUGUUGAAAAGGUGGCCAGUUUCAGAUGCAUUGAUGUGUAGUGAUGCAGUGGACAACUGUGAGGAUGAUACAAUCAACAUGUUCCUAAACUGUGAUGCAGAAACACAAUGGGAGGAUCCAUCCGUCUCUGACCACAACUACACUUUAAAAUCACAACUUAACCUGAAGCAACCUACAUCUGAUAUGGGAAAACAAUGGUGCGGUUUCCCUGACAGGGCUUAUCCUGGUCCCAGGCUAAAAUGCAUAUUUGAGCUACAAUAAUUUAAAAACACCUUUUACUGACAUACCUCAACAUAUAUGAGUGCCAUUGUUUUGUCACAAGAUGCGCACCAGUCUUGUUUUUUUGUAGGGUUUGUUUGUAAAAACUAAAAUGUCCUAAUAUAAUUAAAUCCUAGUCCUGUAAACCCUGUCCGAGAAACUGCUUCAAUGUGUUGAGCUGGCACAAAUGUACAUAUCUCUGCUGAGAAACAACCAUCUUUGGUUCAGCUUUACACAGGGUUGAUAUUGCAUCCAUUACACAGUCGCCAAGCACUUUACCAGUACAUACACCAACAGCUUCCAGAUAAACACUUGGGAUCAGCUCCUGAUGACUCCGAUAAAGCUGUGUCUUAAUUUAUUGCAGGGUGGUCUUGCUUUACCUGUUGUAAAGUUACAUUAAACCUUCAUAUGUGAUCAGAUGUCAUGCAGUGAUAUUAAACAUUUACAGUGUGAUCAGAUGUUGUGCAAUUAUAUUAAACCUUUACAAUGUGA